ACUAAUGUUAUCAUGUACUUAAAUACACCAGAUCCCAUUUGAUCUUGGAAACUAAGCAGGGUUGGCCAUGUUUAGUAACUGGAUAGGAGACUGACAGCAAAUACCAGGUGAUGUAUGGU
Molecule: ribosomal RNA, 119 nt
Filed under: Anolis carolinensis (green anole)
Lineage: Eukaryota; Metazoa; Chordata; Lepidosauria; Squamata; Anolidae
Source: RNAcentral